ACGUGGAAGCCCAACGUUCAUUUUUGACAGCCCAAACUCUUCUCCAACCGAUAUGUCUUUUCCACGUGGAUUAGACAUAUCCCUCUCCUCUGUCAAAUUUGACAGACAGAAGAAGCUCUGUCAUUUAUUUUUUUUAUUGUUUCUCACUUUCUUCUUCUCCUUUCCCCGUCUUUCUUCCUUCAUCUCACCCAGAACUGAUGCUUUUGAAAUCCCGGUUCCAAUGAGCUAAUUAAAGGAACAUGGAUCAAAGUCAUUCAGAUUCAUCCUCGCCGUUACAAUAGCAGGUGGUUUGAUACAGCUAGGGAAAUGUUGAAAAAUGGAUGUCAGUUUUUACUCUCUUCAGAUUGCAGAUGCAAAGAAGAUGUUUGAAGCACAAGAAAAGCUUCGGUUCAAUCUUGAUCAUGCUUGGAUUUCAAGCUGUUUAUGUUUCCUGCUAUGUAUAUUCCCAUAUCUCAAAUUCUCAUAAUCUCAAUUGCAUCUC
This is a long non-coding RNA of Rosa chinensis, 481 nucleotides long. RefSeq lists it as uncharacterized. NCBI's taxonomy places the organism in Eukaryota, Viridiplantae, Streptophyta, Magnoliopsida, Rosales, Rosaceae. The transcript is spliced from 3 exons. The record is from RefSeq and is a predicted model, not a curated record.